RNAcentral lists this ribosomal RNA (913 nucleotides) under uncultured archaeon. Its description in RNAcentral is "bacterial SSU rRNA". It matches the Rfam family "Archaeal small subunit ribosomal RNA", at positions 1 to 921 of the family's 1478-position model. The record is from RNAcentral.
UUCCGGUUGAUCCCGCCGGACCUGACUGCUAUCGGAUUGAUACUAAGCCAUGCGAGUCAUUGUAGCAAUACAAGGCAGACGGCUCAGUAACGCGUAGUCAAUCUACCCUAUGGACGGGAAUAACCUCGGGAAACUGAGAAUAAUACCCGAUAGAACAUUAUGCCUGGAAUGGUUUAUGUUUUAAAUGAUUUAUCGCCGUAGGAUGGGACUGCGGCUUAUCAGUUUGUUGGUGAGGUAAUGGCCCACCAAGACUAUUACAGGUACGGGCUCUGAGAGGAGUGGCCCGGAGAUGGGUACUGAGACACGGACCCAGGCCCUAUGGGGCGCAGCAGGCGAGAAAACUUUGCAAUGUGCGAAAGCACGACAAGGUUAAUCCGAGUGGUUUCUGCUAAAGAAACCUUUUGUUAGUCCUAGAAACACUAGUGAAUAAGGGGUGGGCAAGUUCUGGUGUCAGCCGCCGCGGUAAAACCAGCACCUCAAGUGGUCAGGAUGAUUAUUGGGCCUAAAGCAUCCGUAGCUCGUUUUGUAAGUUUUCGGUUAAAUCCAUGCGCUUAACGUAUGGGCUGCCGGGAAUACUGCAUAACUAGGAAGUGGGAGAGGUAGACGGUACUCGGUAGGAAGGGGUAAAAUCCUUUGAUCUAUUGAUGACCACCUGUGGCGAAGGCGGUCUACCAGAACACGUUCGACGGUGAGGGAUGAAAGCUGGGGGAGCAAACCGGAUUAGAUACCCGGGUAGUCCCAGCUGUAAACUAUGCAAACUCAGUGAUGCAUUGGCUUGUGGCCAAUGCAGUGCUGCAGGGAAGCCGUUAAGUUUGCCGCCUGGGAAGUACGUACGCAAGUAUGAAACUUAAAGGAAUUGGCGGGGGAGCACCACAAGGGGUGAAGCCUGCGGUUCAAUUGGAUUCAACGCCGG